RNAcentral lists this small nuclear RNA (113 nucleotides) under Chelydra serpentina (North American snapping turtle). RNAcentral describes it as "U5 spliceosomal RNA (ENSCSRG00000005382.1)". It matches the Rfam family "U5 spliceosomal RNA". Rfam says of the family: U5 RNA is a component of both types of known spliceosome. The precise function of this molecule is unknown, though it is known that the 5' loop is required for splice site selection and p220 binding, and that both the 3' stem-loop and the Sm site are important for Sm protein binding and cap methylation. Lineage: Eukaryota; Metazoa; Chordata; Testudines; Chelydridae. The record is from Rfam by way of RNAcentral.
AAAUUUGCACCCUUCAAAUCGUAUAAAUCUUUCGCCUUUUACUAAAGAUUUCCGUGGAGAGGAACAGUCACGAGUUUCACCCAAUUUUUUUCUGAAGUAGUGAGGCAGCUGCA